GCUGGCGUAGCUCAACGGUAGAGCAGCUGAUUUGUAAUCAGCAGGUUGCGGGUUCAAUUCCCAUCGCCAGCUCCA
RNAcentral lists this transfer RNA (75 nucleotides) under Candidatus Desantisbacteria bacterium CG2_30_40_21. RNAcentral describes it as "tRNA-Thr". It matches the Rfam family "tRNA". From Rfam's summary of the family: Transfer RNA (tRNA) molecules are approximately 80 nucleotides in length. RNAcentral also lists the same sequence under 5 other names. Lineage: Bacteria; Candidatus Desantisiibacteriota. The record is from RNAcentral.